CCAUUUGGAUCGCUGAGUCCUGAUAAGGGAGCGGGGGAACCAAACGCAGGUAUGUUUUCCAUAUACUGCAUGGGGUGAAUCCCGGGAUGACCCGGGUAGGGCGACUCUUACGCCCGAAUCCGUCAGCUAACCUCGUAAGCGUGUAGGGGGAGGACUG
RNAcentral lists this small RNA (157 nucleotides) under Aneurinibacillus migulanus. RNAcentral describes it as "c-di-AMP sequence". It matches the Rfam family "c-di-AMP riboswitch aptamer (ydaO/yuaA leader)". From Rfam's summary of the family: This family represents a conserved RNA structure found upstream of the ydaO and yuaA genes in Bacillus subtilis and related genes in other bacteria. The ydaO/yuaA element is thought to act as a genetic "off" switch for the ydaO and yuaA genes in its native state. Lineage: Bacteria; Bacillati; Bacillota; Bacilli; Caryophanales; Paenibacillaceae. The record is from Rfam by way of RNAcentral.